UACAGCCAUAUUGCAUUGAAACACUGGUUCUUGCAUGAUCACCAAAGUUAAGCACUGUUGAUCCUGGUGAGUACUUCAAUGGGUGACCACUUGGGAAUAUAAGGUGCUGUAAG
Molecule: non-coding RNA, 113 nt
Organism: Acanthosepion pharaonis
Lineage: Eukaryota; Metazoa; Mollusca; Cephalopoda; Sepiida; Sepiidae
Source: the annotation of a GenBank genome assembly